RNAcentral lists this transfer RNA (77 nucleotides) under Yarrowia lipolytica. RNAcentral's name for it is "tRNA-Ala". Lineage: Eukaryota; Fungi; Ascomycota; Dipodascomycetes; Dipodascales. The record is from RNAcentral.
GGCGUCUGGUGUAGUUGGUUUAUCACCAUGCGCUUUAGCAUGACGCGAGGUUCCCCGGUUCGAUUCGGUGGGUGUCG